Molecule: ribosomal RNA, 253 nt
Filed under: uncultured bacterium
Lineage: Bacteria
Description: partial 16S ribosomal RNA
Rfam family: Bacterial small subunit ribosomal RNA
Source: RNAcentral
GACAGAGGGGGCAAGCGUUGCUCGGAAUCACUGGGCGUAAAGGGCGCGUAGGCGGGAUGGCAAGUCAGUCGUGAAAUCUCUCGGCUCAACCGAGAAACGUCGGCUGAUACUGCCGUUCUUGAGGGAUGCAGAGGAGACUGGAAUUCCCGGUGUAGCGGUGAAAUGUGUAGAGAUCGGGAGGAACACCGGUGGCGAAGGCGGGUCUCUGGGCAUUUCCUGACGCUGAGGAGCGAAAGCGUGGGGAGCAAACAGG